GGGUUGUGAGGUUAAGCGACUAAGCGUACACGGUGGAUGCCCUGGCAGUCAGAGGCGAUGAAGGRCGUGCUAAUCUGCGAUAAGCGCCGGUAAGGUGAUAUGAACCGUUAUAACCGGCGAUWYCCGAAUGGGGAAACCCAGUGUGAYUCGUCACACUAUCAUUAACUGAAUCCAUAGGUUAAUGAGGCGAACCGGGGGAACUGAAACAUCUAAGUACCCCGAGGAAAAGAAAUCAACCGAGAUUCCCCCAGUAGCGGCGAGCGAACGGGGAGGAGCCCAGAGCCUGAAUCAGCAUGUGUGUUAGUGGAAGCGUCUGGAAAGGCGCGCGAUACAGGGUGACAGCCCCGUACACAAAAGCGCAUGUGCUGUGAGCUCGAUGAGUAGGGCGGGACACGUGGUAUCCUGUCUGAAUAUGGGGGGACCAUCCUCCAAGGCUAAAUACUCCUGACUGACCGAUAGUGAACCAGUACCGUGAGGGAAAGGCGAAAAGAACCCCGGCGAGGGGAGUGAAAAAGAACCUGAAACCGUGUACGUACAAGCAGUGGGAGCACAGGUUUACCUGUGUGACUGCGUACCUUUUGUAUAAUGGGUCAGCGACUUAUAUUCUGUAGCAAGGUUAACCGWAUAGGGGAGCCGGAGGGAAACCGAGUCUUAAYYGGGCGUUAAGUUGCAGGGUAUAGACCCGAAACCCGGUGAUCUAGCCAUGGGCAGGUUGAAGGUUGGGUAACACUAACUGGAGGACCGAACCGACUAAUGUUGAAAAAUUAGCGGAUGACCUGUGGCUGGGGGUGAAAGGCCAAUCAAACCGGGAGAUAGCUGGUUCUCCCCGAAAGCUAUUUAGGUAGCGCCUCGUGAAUUCAUCUCCGGGGGUAGAGCACUGUUUCGGCUAGGGGGCCAUCCCGGCUU
RNAcentral lists this ribosomal RNA (906 nucleotides) under Salmonella enterica subsp. enterica serovar Infantis. RNAcentral describes it as "partial 23S ribosomal RNA". Lineage: Bacteria; Pseudomonadati; Pseudomonadota; Gammaproteobacteria; Enterobacterales; Enterobacteriaceae. The record is from RNAcentral.